GCAGAGGUCAAGCUAUUCUUUGAAUCACUAUGUGGAGAGGUUCAGCGUCUUAGGCUACUUGGAGAUUAUCAUCAUUCCACACGUAUAGCCUUUGUUGAGUUUACAAUGGCUGAGAGUGCAAUUGCUGCGCUUAAUUGCAGUGGAGUGGUGUUGGGUUCCCUGCCAAUAAGGGUGAGCCCGUCAAAGACUCCAGUUCGUCCUCGCUCUCCUCGUGCCCAGCUGAACUGAAUGCUCCCUGCAUCCAUCCCAUGUUGGUCUGGUGCUCGAUAGAUAUAUUUAUAUAUAUUGCAUAUAUAUAUAUUAUGGUUAUAGAGAUAUGUUCAGAAGGGAUUGUGGGCUUUGGUGAUGCAUGGAUCCUCUGCAGUGGAGUUGAGUGGAUGGCAUUUUGAGGCUGUUAGUCGUUUAUCUCUGAUGAUGUUAUGGUGGAUGCACCGGUGGAUUCUGUAGGGUUGGUCCCUGGGAACACUUGAAACUUUCUUUCAAUGUUUCUAACUGGAAACUGUUAAUCAACUCUCCGCUCUUUAGUCCCUUCCUUGAGUCUUGC
Molecule: unclassified non-coding RNA, 544 nt
Filed under: Hevea brasiliensis (rubber tree)
Lineage: Eukaryota; Viridiplantae; Streptophyta; Magnoliopsida; Malpighiales; Euphorbiaceae
Source: RNAcentral